This 253-nucleotide ribosomal RNA is filed under the name uncultured bacterium. Its description in RNAcentral is "partial 16S ribosomal RNA". It matches the Rfam family "Bacterial small subunit ribosomal RNA", at positions 524 to 776 of the family's 1533-position model. The record is from RNAcentral.
UACGUAGGGUGCGAGCGUUAAUCGGAAUUACUGGGCGUAAAGCGUGCGCAGGCGGUUAUGUAAGACAGGUGUGAAAUCCCCGGGCUUAACCUGGGAACUGCGCUUGUGACUGCAUAACUCGAGUGUGGCAGAGGGGGGUGGAAUUCCACGUGUAGCAGUGAAAUGCGUAGAGAUGUGGAGGAACACCGAUGGCGAAGGCAGCCCCCUGGGUCAACACUGACGCUCAUGCACGAAAGCGUGGGUAGCAAACAGG